UUUAAAGUCUGAUAAAUUUUUCUAAAUAUAUUAACUAUUCUAAAUCUCUGUUUCUUGUUUUCCAGACAGUUCAAUUGAAAAGUCAGCUUUGGCUAGGCAUGGUGGCUCACGCCUGUAAUCCCAGCACUUUGGGAGGCUGAGGCGGGUGGAUCACGAGGUCAAGAGAUCGAGACCAUCCUGGUCAAACAAGCUGGAUACGUGUCCCCUUCCUGUAGUCCCGGAUACUCAAGAGGCUGAGGCUGGUCUUCUUCAACUCCUGGACUGAAGCAAUCUGCCCACCUUAGCUUCCCAAAGUGCUAGGAUUACAGGCGUGAGACUCCAUGCCUGGCUGGUAAUAAACUUUUUCAUUAUGUGAUACUUUAUGGUCCUCUAGGAACCAAAUUUCUUUUAGGAUUUGUAAAAAAGUAGGAUUAGAUUGGCUCUUCUGUGUUUUAAACAAGAUCUAUUGAAUCCAAGAGAAAAUUCUUACUAACCAACAUAAAUUAAACAACUAUAAAACAGACAAGCCACAUUGGUUACUCUCAUAGUUUACUUGAUAAAAUCAAAUAGGCAAG
This 554-nucleotide long non-coding RNA is filed under the name Callithrix jacchus (white-tufted-ear marmoset). RNAcentral's name for it is "lncRNA (ENSCJAG00000060462.2)". Lineage: Eukaryota; Metazoa; Chordata; Mammalia; Primates; Cebidae. The record is from RNAcentral.